Homo sapiens (human) is the source of this 789-nucleotide long non-coding RNA. The record is from Ensembl. NCBI's taxonomy places the organism in Eukaryota, Metazoa, Chordata, Mammalia, Primates, Hominidae.
CACUCCCGAAAGCCUGUGUGAUGUGCUAUCUAUGGAUUUCCCUUUUGAGAUGGAGAAACUGAGGUCCGGAGAAACUGAGGCCCAGAUAGGAGCAAGACUUGCAUGCCUAGAUCCUUCUUGUGUGCCUCUUCCUACUGCAAGCUGAGACCCAGGUCCCUGGUUUGGCUGUCGUGGCUGCUUGUAAAGUGAAGGUGCUUCUGUGACUGAAUGACUCCAACAAAUGUCCAAAUCCCUAAUCCUUUCCUCACCAAAGAAGAUGGCCCUUGGGGACAGCAGCACUUGCUGAGCAGGAGCAUGAGUCAGGUAGAUGGACUUCUCUUCUACCACAAACAGACCCACUACAGCCCCGGAAGCACUCCCUUGGUGGGCUGGCUGCGCCCCUACAUGGUGUCAGAUGUCCUUGGUGUAGCUGUGCCGGCUGGCCCGCUGACCACCAAGCCAGACUAUGCUGGGCACCAGCUCCAGCAGAUUAUGGAGCACAAGAAGAGCCAGAAGGAAGGCAUGAAGGAGAAACUCACACACAAGGCCUCUGAGAAUGGGCACUAUGAAUUGGAGCACCUGUCUACUCCCAAGUUGAAGGGUUCUUCCCAUAGCCCAGACCACCCUGGAUGCCUCAUGGAGAAUUAAAGAGAGAAGCCUCCUUAAGGAGCCACAGGAUGGUACCUGGCCCCAAAAGGAAUCCUGGAGAGGAGGACAGUGACAACAGGCUACCAAGCAGUUUCUCGAAGAGAUUAACAAGUGGACAGUUCAGUACAAUGUUUCCCCGCUGUCUUGGAAUGUGGCUGUCAA